AAAUUCUUAGCCAUAUUACUUGAAAGAUCUUUUCUUUCCACCCUCUCUUUGGAGUUAGGUAGAAUUAUAGUUCCAAAAGUAUAUGAAAAAGAAUAAGUUUGAGGUUGCUCUUGGAAGUGAGCAAAUUUUUAAGUUUGGGGUUGGGGUACUAGAGAAUAUGAUCUUAAAUUUCAAAAAUUAUUGUGAAAAAGAAGUGGAAAAAGUCACUUCUUCAAAAAAA
This 220-nucleotide long non-coding RNA is filed under the name Lathyrus oleraceus (garden pea). RNAcentral's name for it is "Pisum sativum (pea) long non-coding RNA (PSAT_LNC007829)". Lineage: Eukaryota; Viridiplantae; Streptophyta; Magnoliopsida; Fabales; Fabaceae. The record is from RNAcentral.